UACGUAGGGGGCGAGCGUUGUCCGGAUUUAUUGGGCGUAAAGAGCUCGUAGGCGGCUAAGCAAGUCGGGUGGGAAAUCUCCAGGCUCAACCUGGAGCCUUCGCCCGAUACUGCUUUGGCUUGAGUCCGGUAGGGGAGUGUGGAAUUCCCGGUGUAGCGGUGAAAUGCGCAGAUAUCGGGAGGAACACCGAUGGCGAAGGCAGGUCUCUGGGCCACUACUGACGCUGAGAAGCGAAAGCAUGGGGAGCGAACAGG
RNAcentral lists this ribosomal RNA (254 nucleotides) under uncultured bacterium. RNAcentral's name for it is "partial 16S ribosomal RNA". It matches the Rfam family "Bacterial small subunit ribosomal RNA", at positions 524 to 776 of the family's 1533-position model. The record is from RNAcentral.